RNAcentral lists this long non-coding RNA (929 nucleotides) under Homo sapiens (human). RNAcentral's name for it is "non-protein coding lnc-NR5A2-1:6". Lineage: Eukaryota; Metazoa; Chordata; Mammalia; Primates; Hominidae. The record is from RNAcentral.
UCGGCUUGCAUUUCCCUGAUGACUAAUGAAGUGGAGCAUCUUUCCAUUGUACAGAAGCUCACCUGGUAUGCCCUGCCUCCACCCCGGGUUCCAGAUUUGCUAAAGAAAGUCUGAGCACAGGCCCAGGAACCUGCAUUUUUAACAGGCAUAUCUGGUGAUCUGAUGCAGGUGAGUGGAGGAAGAAGAGAAUCACCACAUAUCGUAUUUAGAGGUCCUGCAGAAAGGGCAGAGCGAGUUUCAUGUUUGAGUGCAGCGGAUGCAUGGGCAAAGCAUUACACAGCCGCUCCAUGGAAGUGACAAUGAGCCUUGUCUUUCACACGUAACUCCAGGAACCAGGGGAAACAAAACCAAUUCCACCCAGAGGUACAGACAAAGAAGAGCACCCUCCCAAAGGAGCCCGCAUGAUAAGUGGCCACGGCGAACAUCACUGUGAUCAGUCAGAAAGGCAGGCGAGUUAUUAGCUUAGCCCUGAACCUCCUACUUAAUGUAGAACCAGUGGUGAUGGUUAACAGACCCUGGCUGCAGUGACAAGCCUGGGACCUGCUCGAGGAAAUCCAAUUGAAAAGCAGCCAAGAGGAACAACAAGCUAGAAACAGAUGUUCCAGCUACCAGGAUGUGCACGCAUUUAACCUGAACAUGUAGUUGGGGUGGGAUGGUAGCAUUCGUUUCUAAAUAUAGUGAUUUCACUUCUUCCCCCAUAUAGAUAUUGUCAAGUUUAAUUAUAGCCAUCCACAUUAGUUUUGUCAAAUUUUCAGCAAUUUCUUUAAAAUAAGAAGAUGUCAGAAUGAUAACUGCUAUUAAGGGAAUUCAGGGUGUUUGGUUUAUCUACCCAGUCUUACUAAAACAUUUCAGUUAAAUCAUCCACUCUUAAACUCCAGUCUCAUAGCAAUUAAAAAUUAUCUUUUAAAAAAUUGCCCAAAUGAAAUUCC